AUACGGAGGGUGCAAGCGUUACUCGGAAUCACUGGGCGUAAAGCGCGCGCAGGCGGUCUUUUAAGUUGGAUGUGAAAGCCUACGGCUCAACCGUAGAACUGCAUCCAAAACUAUUAGACUAGAGUGUGGGAGAGGAAGAUGGAAUUAGUUGUGUAGGGGUAAAAUCCGUAAAGAUAACUAGGAAUACCAAAAGCGAAGGCAAUCUUCUGGAACGCUACUGACGCUGAGGCGCGAAAGCGUGGGGAGCAAACAGGAUUAGAAACCCUAGUAGUCC
This 274-nucleotide ribosomal RNA is filed under the name uncultured bacterium. Its description in RNAcentral is "partial 16S ribosomal RNA". It matches the Rfam family "Bacterial small subunit ribosomal RNA", at positions 523 to 796 of the family's 1533-position model. The record is from RNAcentral.